CAUAAUCGAAUUUGCACCAAGUCCAACAACAAAUCACUGUUCAGUUUCUCAUUUUUGAAAAUUAUUUCAUUUCGCAAUUCCCACAUGCAUAUACACCCACCGACCCACAUAACAGCAUGGACAAAGCAUACAAGUAUCACUACUAAAAAAAAGUGAUUUAGCGAGGGAAUGAUAUCCCUCGCUGUUAGCGACGGAAUGCGACGAAACUCAGAAAUUCCUCUCACACUCUCAUGGCCGCAACGCGUUCUCUGCUUCUUGCUACUCCUCUUCACCUUCUCACUCUCUCAAAUCUCACCCACGCUCUUCGACCCUUCUUCCCCGCCACUCCACAUGUCACUUCCGCAACCGUCCUCUUCUCGGCGGAGCUCGAAUCCUUCAAUGUUUUCGCGACGGCGCGGUCUCCUCCGAUGUGCUGGAAUCUCUUCUCUUUCGGAGUCCGACUCGAACUGUGCUUGCUGGAAUUGUGCUUUUAACUGCGCAGCAUCGCUGAAUCAAAACCAGAAACCCUACCAGGCGAAUUUGAAUCAUACAGAACGGAAACCCUAGUCGAAAUCAUUGGAGAGCGAUGGCUUCCCACAUUAGGUUAGCCUUUUGGGAUGGCAAGAGUAGUGCUGAGGAGCUGAAGAAGGUUUCUGCAGACCUUAGGUUAGUCAUUUGGAAGCAGAUGGCUGAGGCUGGAAUCCAGUAUAUUCCAAGCAACACCUUCUCAUACUAUGAUCAAGUAUUGGACACAACAACCAUGCUUGGGGCAGUUCCUCCUACUCCUAGAUAUAGUUAGAACUGUGGGGAGAUUGGCUUUGAUAUAUACUUCUCCAUGGUAAGAGGAAAUGUAUCUGUACCAGCUAUGGAAAUGACCAAGUGGUUUGACACCAACUAAUUCAAGCAAGAAUUUGGCUAGGAGAAGUAGUGCAGAUCAGAUUAGAUGACUAGCAACUCCUUAUUUCAGAACUACUUGCUCAUGGUUUGCAAAAGCAUUGUGUGCUUAUCGUCAAUACCUGGUGCCACUCACAUCGCCUUUCUUCCAUCUCAGGUUUGGGUUGGAACUUGCGGUUUCAUCUCCUCUAUAAGCCUCGACAUCUCAGGAUAGAGGGAGCAAUCUGCUUUGUGUUUCCCUUCUGUGGAUGUGAAGCCUCUUGAAUCAAGAGGUACAUUCCUAUCUGUUUAUGUUUGAAGCUUCUGAAGGGUUUGACACAUGUGCUUGUGGGUAAAUAGUGACGGACUGUCCCGUCGGAAUGAGCGACGGAUUCACGUGAUAAUCCAGCAAACAGUUUAGUGACAGAAAUAUAUAAAUUAGCGACGGCACAUUUCCGUCGCUAUCAGCGACGGAUUGAUAACGACGGAUUUAAGAAUCCCUCGUUAAUUAUUUAGCGACGCCACUUUGCACGACGGAUAGGGUUCCGUCGCAAAUUCCGUCGAAAAAUUUUUUGCGACGGAAUUUUCCUUAUUUAGCGACGGAUUUUGUCCCUCGCUAAUUUGCUUUUUUUUAGUAGUGUAUUUACAUACGGGUUGUCUAAAUGACUCAUGAUAAAGUUUGGGUUAAAUAACCCAUCAUCCAAUCACAUUGGAGAUAAGUAAGUUGGAA
Molecule: long non-coding RNA, 1582 nt
Organism: Lotus japonicus
Lineage: Eukaryota; Viridiplantae; Streptophyta; Magnoliopsida; Fabales; Fabaceae
Exons: 5
Source: RefSeq, a predicted model, not a curated record